This 352-nucleotide ribosomal RNA is filed under the name Diaptomidae gen. sp. JV-2011. RNAcentral's name for it is "SSU rRNA". It matches the Rfam family "Eukaryotic small subunit ribosomal RNA", at positions 559 to 911 of the family's 1831-position model. The record is from RNAcentral. Lineage: Eukaryota; Metazoa; Arthropoda; Copepoda; Calanoida; Diaptomidae.
GUCUGGUGCCAGCAGCCGCGGUAAUUCCAGCUCCAAUAGCGUAUAUUAAAGUUGUUGUGGUUAAAAAGCUCGUAGUUGGAUCUCGGCGGACAGAAGUCGGUCCGAAUGCUUUCGGCACUGGCUUGUUUGUCCGUGUGUUUUGCCAGAGGCAGGCGGGUGCUCUUCGCCGAGUGUCCGUUUGUGCUGGCAGGUUUACUUUGAAAAAAUUAGAGUGCUCAAAGCAAGCUCUCACGCUUGAAUAUUCGUGCAUGGAAUAAUAGAAUAGGAUGUCGUUUCUAUUUUGUUGGUUUUCGGAAAUCGACAUAAUGAUUAAUAGGGACAGUCGGGGGCAUUCGUACUGCGGCGACAGAGA